RNAcentral lists this ribosomal RNA (1315 nucleotides) under metagenome. RNAcentral's name for it is "bacterial LSU rRNA". It matches the Rfam family "Bacterial large subunit ribosomal RNA", at positions 1599 to 2925 of the family's 2925-position model. The record is from RNAcentral.
GUCACACUGCCAAGAAAAUCUUCUAGCGUUUAAUUAUAACCUACCCGUACCGCAAACCGACACAGGUAGUCGAGGCGAGUAGCCUCAGGUGAGCGAGAGAACUCUCGUUAAGGAACUCGGCAAAAUGACCCCGUAACUUCGGGAGAAGGGGUGCUCUACAUUUGUAGAGCCGCAGUGAAUAGGCCCAAGCGACUGUUUAUCAAAAACACAGCUCUCUGCUAAAUCGUAAGAUGAUGUAUAGGGGGUGACGCCUGCCCGGUGCUGGAAGGUUAAGAGGAGUGCUUAGCGUAAGCGAAGGUAUGAAUUGAAGCCCCAGUAAACGGCGGCCGUAACAAUAACGGUCCUAAGGUAGCGAAAUUCCUUGUCGGGUAAGUUCCGACCCGCACGAAAGGCGUAACGAUUUGGGCACUGUCUCAACGAGAGACUCGGUGAAAUUUUAGUACCUGUGAAGAUGCAGGUUAUCCGCGACAGGACGGAAAGACCCCAUGGAGCUUUACUGCAAGUUGAUAUUGAGUAUCUGUUGCACAUGUACAGGAUAGGUAGGAGCCAUUGAUCUGAGGACGCUAGUUUUCAGUGAGGCGAUGUUGGGAUACUACCCUUGUGUCAUGGCUACUCUAACCCGCAUGCCUAAUCGGCAUGGGAGACAGUGUCUGCUGGGCAGUUUGACUGGGGCGGUCGCCUCCUAAAGAGUAACGGAGGCGCUCAAAGCUUCCCUCAGCAUGGUUGGAAAUCAUGCGUAGAGUGUAAAGGUAUAAGGGAGAUUGACUGCGAGACUUACAAGUCGAGCAGGUACGAAAGUAGGACUUAGUGAUCCGGUGGUACCGCAUGGAAGGGCCAUCGCUCAACGGAUAAAAGCUACCCUGGGGAUAACAGGCUUAUCUCCCCCAAGAGUUCACAUCGACGGGGAGGUUUGGCACCUCGAUGUCGGCUCGUCGCAUCCUGGGGCUGUAGUCGGUCCCAAGGGUUGGGCUGUUCGCCCAUUAAAGCGGCACGCGAGCUGGGUUCAGAACGUCGUGAGACAGUUCGGUCCCUAUCCGUCGCGGGCGUAGGAAAUUUGAGAGGAUCUGCCCUUAGUACGAGAGGACCGGGGUGGACUUACCGCUGGUGUACCAGUUGUCUUGCCAAAGGCAUCGCUGGGUAGCUAUGUAGGGAACGGAUAAACGCUGAAAGCAUCUAAGUGUGAAACCAACCUCAAGAUGAGAUUUCCCAUUCUUUAUGAAUUAAGAGCCCUGAGAGAUGAUCAGGUAGAUAGGCUAGAAGUGGAAGGACAGUGAUGUUUGGAGCGGACUAGUACUAAUAGCUCGAGGACUUUACC